GCAUGCCUUACACAUGCAAGUCGAACGGUAGAGUAGCAAUACUUGAGAGUGGCGAACGGGUGAGUAAUACAUCGGAACAUGCCCAACUGUGGGGGAUAACGUAGCGAAAGUUACGCUAAUACCGCAUACGAUCUACGGAUGAAAGCGGGGGAUUCGCAAGAACCUCGCGCAGUUGGAGUGGCUGAUGUCAGAUUAGCUAGUUGGUAGGGUAAAAGCCUACCAAGGCAACGAUCUGUAGCUGGUCUGAGAGGACGACCAGCCACACUGGGACUGAGACACGGCCCAGACUCCUACGGGAGGCAGCAGUGGGGAAUUUUGGACAAUGGACGAAAGUCUGAUCCAGCAAUGCCGCGUGCAGGACGAAGGCCUUCGGGUUGUAAACUGCUUUUGUACGGAACGAAAAAGUCUCUAUUAAUACUAGGGGCUUAUGACGGUACCGUAAGAAUAAGCACCGGCUAACUACGUGCCAGCAGCCGCGGUAAUACGUAGGGUGCGAGCGUUAAUCGGAAUUACUGGGCGUAAAGCGUCCGCAGGCGGUUCUAUAAGACAGAUGUGAAAUCCCCGGGCUCAACCUGGGAACUGCAUUUGUGACUGUAGAGCUAGAGUA
This 607-nucleotide ribosomal RNA is filed under the name uncultured bacterium. RNAcentral's name for it is "bacterial SSU rRNA". It matches the Rfam family "Bacterial small subunit ribosomal RNA", at positions 42 to 648 of the family's 1533-position model. The record is from RNAcentral.